UCUUUUUCCUUUAUCACCUCACGUUCUCAGGCUUCUGUUAGGUGUUAAGUUAAGUUAAGUUAAGAGUCUGCGACUCGCCGACUCUAGACUUGAAAUCAAAUUUGAUUCUGUCGAAGGUGUUAUUAAGCUUUGCAGAUACUGCGGAAGGAUCCAGAAAGCCUGCAGGUUGUUUGUAGGAUUUACAUUUGUUCUCUGGUGAAGAAGGAUUGUCAAGAUAGUGUGCUCUACCCGAACGUUGUUAGCUGCCAUCAUAUUAAAUGAGGAUACCACACACUGAGUUGACUUCGCUGUAGCUAUGCAACUAGGCUUGGCAGUGUCUUCAUCGGUUUAAAUUUGGCAAAACAAAUUCAUGUCAUAUUUGAGCAUCUAUUCUGUAUUCUCCAAGGGCGAUUUCUGUAGACAUACCCGGAUCCUUCCGGAUUACCGAAUGGGUUUCGGUGGAUUUUCCCCUUGCCAUCAGGGAUGGGCGUUGUCACUGUUCUCAAGGACUGUCACUUUCGCUUGAGUCUGUCGGAUUUUACAACAAGUUUGCAAGCAAACCUGAAGGUCCCACCGCCGAGUCCAUGAGACGAAACACAAACAAUAUAUUUCAACUACUUGUACCAAACCAACACCAGUGUGCAGACUGUGAUUACUUGAGAUUAUCCUCCCGAAUCUCCAAGUGAAUCUACAGACCCCUGACUCUCGCCUCUAUUUGUUUUUGGCCGGGACAUCCAGGGGAAUCCUUCUGUAAAUUUAAGUAGUUAAUUUUCCGCUCAACGUUCAUUGUUCAAUUGUUUGAUUUAAUUUUGAUUGGAUUUAAUUAUUAAUGAAGUGCAUGGAAUACCGGAUUAUCGUCCAAUAGAGAUUGAUACCCUGGCGGCAGAUGAUGGCGACGACUCAUCCUUUGGAGUUUGCAUCACUUUGGAGAUGGCACGCUAAACACGACACGUUGUUAAGACCGUGCCGACGUGACCAAAUUAAAGGAAGGGGACAACGAAAUGCGAAUGCGACAUUAUACUAGGAUUACCCUACUGCACGGAAACGGGAUUGAAAUCAACAUUGCAGAGAAACUUAGUAAAACCCCCAAUUUGGCUCCCGUGCACACCAUUUUCCCGGAACUGAAGAUGAGAGCUGUCGUCCUAGGCUCACGGAUUCGCAUAAUCACGGCCGCGAAUCGUUUGGGGUUGUACUCUGCAUUGCGUGCGUGCAAUGCAAUUUGUUUCAGGUCCAACUUGCAUCCCAGAUUGACGGAACAAUUCCGGAACCAGCAGACGCUGGUGUGUAGGGUGUCGCUGGAGCGAUUGUUCUAGGACCAAAUAUUCCACCUUCCGGGGUUCCUUGUGACAUGGGCGAACCUGCAUUAACUGCACUUGAUCUUCGAUUUGGAGCAGAGACUACCAAUUGGACCGACCCCUAGCACGUGCGCGCCCUUUUCCUCUGAAGCUAUCGACAGUGGAACGUCAUCAAUCGGCAUGCGGUCGUCGACAGGCCGACAUCAUCAAUAUUUCCUGUUUUAUUUAAUAGUAGGUCAUAGGAGGUAGGGACAGGGAAGUAAAAUCGGAAAUUAUCGACAAGUACCUUUUCCUAUGAAUUUGGUUGAAGGUCACAGCGAAAAAUACGUAAAACUGUCAUGCGACGGAGGUUGGGUGAGAAAGAAACGUGUUACACCAUUAUCAAGUAGGUAGAAUUUCCGCAAGGCUUGAGAAAGGGUGAGAAAAAGUUGUAUAAAAGGAGAGAGGAAAGGCCUCAGACAUCAGUCGAGUGAGCAUCUCCCACACGGUAACAACUGCACCAACUGUAUUCUUCGUCGUAAUACCAAUUCGCAAAUAUGGUUAACUAUGGCGUCGUGCUGCUGCUGGAUGUUGUAUCUGCCUGUGAUGUGCCAGGAUUCAGUCGAUGGUCCUCUGAUGACAGGGUCUUUGAGCUGAGUCUCUACCAGCCACAACUCUACGACCAUUUACUUCACCGAGACUCCCCAGUACUACACCGAAAAGGCCGAAUAUUAAACCACCACGUUCGCUGCCCUAGUUUACUACACCGAGGGACCCAAGUAUGACUCUACUCCGAGCUACUACCUGACAGAGGCUUCUGUUAACUACACCACCAACGCACCCGAGUGCUACACGACAACCUAAGCUGCCCCCAAGUACAACACUGAAGCUCCGACGUACUACACCAUCAAGUCACAACCAGUUCGCAAUCAUGGUUAAUUUUGGUGUCGUGUUGCUGUUGAGGGUCCUAUCGCUUAUAGCGGGUCGACCACUGUGUUCUUCCAAUUCUUAAUCAAAGUGAGUUAUGGCGUCGUGCUCCUGUCGACUGUUGUAUCGUUUAUGGCUGAGUCAACCACUUGUGUACCGAUGUCUCCUGGGUAUGGCGGGUACCUAAUUGCAACGCCGCCGUCUCACUACACACAACAUUAACAUACGCAACGACCUGUUAGGCUCCGAGGCCCCCAAGUACUACACCGAAAGACGGAAUAUUACACAUUCACGUUCGCUGCCCCAGUUUUCUACACCGAGGAACCAAAGUAUUACUCUGCUUCAAGCUACUAUCAAACUGAGGCUCCUGUGCACUUCACCACCAGCAACGCCACUGAUUAUUACACGACAACUAAGGCUGCCCUCCACUACUCCACUGGUGCUCCGAAGUACUACAUCAUCAAGUCACUUAGCUAUCAAGGCCUGAUUGCAAUCAUGGUCAAUUUAGGCGUCGUGUUGCUGUGGGGGUUUAAUCGUUGAUUGCGUGUUGUAUCGUUGCUGGCUGAGUCCACCACUGGUCUACUGAUGUCUCCUGAGGAUGGUGGAGGCGAAAUCGCAGCGCCGUCGCCUAACCACAAGACAACGUGGAUGACAACCAGUUACUACACCAAGGCUUUGGACGACUAGUCGACUACCCUACAACCUACGCUGCUCCAAUUUACUACCUCGAGGCCAAAUAAUGUUACUCCACUCCCAGUUACUACACCGAGGCUCCAGUUUAUUACAUCACCGAGUAACACGCAGAGGAUCCCAAGCACUACACAAACACAUCACCAGAGUACUACACGACUACGUAUGCUGCUCAAGCUGACUACACCAAGGCUUCCAAGUUUUCUCUGCUACCAGCUACUACACCGAGGCCCCACCCUGCCCCUAGCUACACACUCGCAGCUGAGCCGGUCAAGUACUACCCAGCACCUACUUACUGCGCAGAGGCUGCCCUAACUACUACACCAUGAUCUACGCUGCUCCAGGCUACUACACUGAAGCUCUGUUAACUACAAGGCACUCGAGUAUGAAACCACUGCUUCCGCUUCUCCGACCUACUGCACCGAAGUAUUACUCUGCCCCGAAUUACUGCAACAUUAAGGCACUUGCAUAUUACAUCACAACCUACGCUUCCUGCCUACUACAAGAAAGCCUUUAAUGUGAGAUUUAAAAUGUUGUUUUAUGUUCAGAUUUUGUUACAUCUUAAUAAUUAUUGUUAAUUGAAAUUGAUCGUUAGUUUUAAAUGAGCAAACCGGAGAAAAUAAAAUUUUUAAUGCGA
RNAcentral lists this long non-coding RNA (3507 nucleotides) under Daphnia pulex (common water flea). RNAcentral describes it as "uncharacterized LOC124210082, transcript variant X5". Lineage: Eukaryota; Metazoa; Arthropoda; Branchiopoda; Diplostraca; Daphniidae. The record is from RNAcentral.